GACGAACGCUGGCGGUGUGCUUAACACAUGCAAGUCGAACGGAAAGGCCCUGCUUUUGUGGUGUGCUCGAGUGGCGAACGGGUGCGUAUCACGUGAGUAACCUGCCCUUGACUUUGGGAUAACUUCAGGAAACUGGGGUUAAUACCGGAUAGGAGCUCCUGUUGCAUGGUGGGGGUUGGAAAGUUUCGGCGGUUGGGGAUGGACUCGCGGCUUAUCAGCUUGUUGGUGGGGUAGUGGCUUACCAAACCUUUGACGGGUAGCCGGCCUGAGAGGGUGACCGGCCACAAUGGGACUGAGAUACGACGCAGACGCGUACGGUAGGCAGCAGUGGGGAAUAUUGCACAAGGGGCGGAAGCCGGAGGCAGAAGCGCCGGGUGCGGGAAGACGGCCUUCGGGUUGAAAACCGCAGUCGCCUGUGACGAAGCGUGAGUGACGGUAAUGGGUAAAGAAGCACCGGCUAACUACGUG
This 468-nucleotide ribosomal RNA is filed under the name uncultured bacterium. RNAcentral's name for it is "partial 16S ribosomal RNA". It matches the Rfam family "Bacterial small subunit ribosomal RNA", at positions 28 to 507 of the family's 1533-position model. The record is from RNAcentral.